CCUACGGGAGGCAGCAGUAGGGAAUAUUGCUCAAUGGGGGAAACCCUGAAGCAGCAACGCCGCGUGGAGGAUGAAGGUUUUCGGAUUGUAAACUCCUUUUGUUAGAGAAGAUAAUGACGGUAUCUAACGAAUAAGCACCGGCUAACUCCGUGCCAGCAGCCGCGGUAAUACGGAGGGUGCAAGCGUUACUCGGAAUCACUGGGCGUAAAGAGCGCGUAGGCGGGAUAGCAAGUCAGAUGUGAAAUCCUAUGGCUUAACCAUAGAACUGCAUUUGAAACUGUUAGUCUAGAGUAUGGGAGAGGUAGGUGGAAGUCCUGGUGUAGGGGUAAAAUGCGUAGAGAUCAAGAGGAAUACUCAUUGCGAAGGCGACCUGCUAGAACAUAACUGACGCUGAGGCGCGAAAGCGUGGGGAGCAAACAGGAUUAGAUACCCCGGUAGUC
RNAcentral lists this ribosomal RNA (440 nucleotides) under uncultured bacterium. RNAcentral describes it as "partial 16S ribosomal RNA". It matches the Rfam family "Bacterial small subunit ribosomal RNA", at positions 338 to 795 of the family's 1533-position model. The record is from RNAcentral.